GUUGAGUGUAAGAUAGACGAUUUAUUACUCGCGACUCGAUCAUAAUGCUCGACAUACGUAUAUAAUUACGUAUACGUAAGUAGUGAGUCUCGUACGAAGACGAAAGUUUUCUUUUCAAAAAAUCCAAAAAUGGUGGACGCGGAAACGGUCGCGCUGACCAUCGCCGUGUGCUUUGUGACUUUUUUGGUCGUCAUCGCCGGGCAACUCCUCUACAUCGGUCUGCUGCUCCGCAACGACGAGGUGAUCAUAAGGGUGAACAUAUUCUGGAGGAAUCGCAUGAUUCGGCCAGGAAGUUAGCAACAACUUCCGAGAGAAACGUUCCCUGCACCGACGAUGCACGCCAAUUCAUUAACGCACACGCCUCGACUGCAAGCACACUCGCACGCAUAUACUCAAACGACGAAAGCUCAAAAAGGAUGUAUUAAUUUCAAGCGCAACACUGGUAUAGAAGUAGAAGCUUCAUCGUCGUCGAGGCCCAAACGAGUCCUUCAUCUUCCAAUAUUGAGUUUCAUCAAGCGAGCGUGCCAAGCAUCAUCGAAAAUUAAAGCGGCCGACUUUGCCGGGAGAACUCGUUCCUCCGCGGCUGCUGCGGCUGCUCUGCACGAGGCUGACGUCGUUUAUGCGUCGUGUGCCUUAAAAUCAAGACACGUUUAUUCACAACUACUCAGCCUGCGGGGGACUGGCGGUUUUUCUUUUCUUAUACCGCAAACUUUCUUCAUUAGUAUAAUCAACCGCGUCGACGUAGAAAAAGCACUGUGUGUUAUAUAAGACAUCGAAUUAGCGUGCGAGUAUAAAUCGCGAUCGAAGCACAUCUGAACUUUUGCAUCGUGGAUGCAUAUAUAUUUCGAAUUUUCUCAAUGAGCGAGUCGAGAACUUGCAAAUAUAAAUAUCCCAACUGCAUUGUGCAGAGUAAGUUUCAAAUUGACUUUGAUCGGAUCAAAGUAGACAAGAUAAGUAGACAAGAUAAGAAAUUUGGCUUACUAUUGCGAUAUAAAUGAAGCAAAAAGAUGUAAUUAUACCGGUUUUAAUGAUAUUAACCGUUGACAAUGAAUUGUUGCGCGAAAAAAAAGUUAAAAUUUUAAGAAAAAUUCUAGUUUUACGUAAAAACUCAGUAAUGGUAGAAUUAUCAUUUUUGAUGUUAUUUUACUAAUAUUUAUUUUGAUUGGCUAAUUUUUAUAUAUUGUUAAUAUAAAUUAUUAACUAUAAUUAUAAUUGUAUCUUCAUAAUUAGAUAAUUGAGUUGUGAAAAAUUAUGCGCCGCGUAAUUAGUGAUAUCAAACGAAAAAGUAAAAACGUGUGCACUGUUAUAUUUGAAUUGCGUAUAUUAGAGCAGAUGAGGGAUGAUAAUAUUUAAACUCAUUUUUAACCGUACAUAAAGAAUCUCGAAAUCUGAUAAUUAUUUUUGUAGAGCUAAAAUUUUAAUAAAAAAUAUAAUUAUGUAAGACCUCGUGAUAAUCAAAGUAA
Long non-coding RNA from Trichogramma pretiosum, 1463 nucleotides. RefSeq lists it as uncharacterized. The transcript is spliced from 2 exons. The record is from RefSeq and is a predicted model, not a curated record. NCBI's taxonomy places the organism in Eukaryota, Metazoa, Arthropoda, Insecta, Hymenoptera, Trichogrammatidae.